AGUGAACGCUGGCGGUAGGCCUAACACAUGCAAGUCGAACGGCAGCACAGUAAGAGCUUGCUCUUACGGGUGGCGAGUGGCGGACGGGUGAGGAAUACAUCGGAAUCUACUUUUUCGUGGGGGAUAACGUAGGGAAACUUACGCUAAUACCGCAUACGACCUACGGGUGAAAGCAGGGGAUCUUCGGACCUUGCGCGAUUGGAUGAGCCGAUGUCGGAUUAGCUAGUUGGCGGGGUAAAGGCCCACCAAGGCGACGAUCCGUAGCUGGUCUGAGAGGAUGAAAAGCCAAACUGGAACUGAGAAACGGCCCAGACUCCUAGGGGAGGAAGCAGUGGGGAAAAUUGGAAAAUGGGGGAAAGCCUGAUCCAGCCAUACCGGGGGGGGGAAGAAGGCCUUGGGGUUGUAAAGCCCUUUUGUUGGGAAAAAAAAGCAGCAGGUUAAUACCCCGCUGUUCUGACGGUACCCAAAGAAUAAGCACCGGCUAACUUCGU
Molecule: ribosomal RNA, 491 nt
Filed under: uncultured bacterium
Lineage: Bacteria
Description: partial 16S ribosomal RNA
Rfam family: Bacterial small subunit ribosomal RNA
Source: RNAcentral